Small nuclear RNA from Lepisosteus oculatus (spotted gar), 191 nucleotides. Its record names the gene U2. It matches the Rfam family "U2 spliceosomal RNA". From Rfam's summary of the family: U2 is a small nuclear RNA (snRNA) component of the spliceosome (involved in pre-mRNA splicing). Complementary binding between U2 snRNA (in an area lying towards the 5' end but 3' to hairpin I) and the branchpoint sequence (BPS) of the intron results the bulging out of an unpaired adenosine, on the BPS, which initiates a nucleophilic attack at the intronic 5' splice site, thus starting the first of two transesterification reactions that mediate splicing. Lineage: Eukaryota; Metazoa; Chordata; Actinopteri; Semionotiformes; Lepisosteidae. The record is from Ensembl.
CCUUCUCCUUAGCCUUAAAGCUGGGCUCAAGUGAAGUUUCUGUUCUUAUCAGUUUAACACCUGGUAGGCCCCCCACAAGUGGGUUGAGUAGCAAAUUGAGUUUUGGGACAGAGAGCUGGAACACAGGCGUGCCCCAUCCUCUCCAUGCAUUGACCUGGUAUUGCAGAGUCUCCUGGACCAGAAGAAAUAUC